GCCUGGGUGGCUCAGUCGGUUAAGCAUCUGACUUCGGCUCAGGUCAUGAUCUCGCGGUCCGUGAGUUCGAGCCCCGCGUCAGGCU
Transfer RNA from Felis catus (domestic cat), 85 nucleotides. It matches the Rfam family "tRNA". Rfam says of the family: Transfer RNA (tRNA) molecules are approximately 80 nucleotides in length. Their secondary structure includes four short double-helical elements and three loops (D, anti-codon, and T loops). The record is from Rfam. NCBI's taxonomy places the organism in Eukaryota, Metazoa, Chordata, Mammalia, Carnivora, Felidae.